CGGGGUAUAGCGCAGCCAGGUUAGCGCGCCAGUCUGGGGGACUGGAGGCCGGGAGUUCGAAUCUCCCUGCCCCGACCA
This 78-nucleotide transfer RNA is filed under the name Pseudomonas taiwanensis. RNAcentral's name for it is "tRNA-Pro". It matches the Rfam family "tRNA". From Rfam's summary of the family: Transfer RNA (tRNA) molecules are approximately 80 nucleotides in length. Lineage: Bacteria; Pseudomonadati; Pseudomonadota; Gammaproteobacteria; Pseudomonadales; Pseudomonadaceae. The record is from RNAcentral.